This 91-nucleotide transfer RNA is filed under the name Candidatus Nanopelagicales bacterium. RNAcentral's name for it is "tRNA-Ile". The stretch from base 6 to 58 matches the Rfam family "tRNA", at positions 8 to 63 of the family's 71-position model. Rfam says of the family: Transfer RNA (tRNA) molecules are approximately 80 nucleotides in length. Their secondary structure includes four short double-helical elements and three loops (D, anti-codon, and T loops). Lineage: Bacteria; Bacillati; Actinomycetota; Actinomycetes; Candidatus Nanopelagicales. The record is from RNAcentral.
GGCGGUAGCUCAGUUGGUCAGAGCAGCGGACUCAUAAUCCGCCGGUCGUGGGUCCACGGUGGUGACUGGCGGCAGUUUGCCGCCGAGGCCG